Podarcis lilfordi (Lilford's wall lizard) is the source of this 844-nucleotide non-coding RNA. The record is from the annotation of a GenBank genome assembly. NCBI's taxonomy places the organism in Eukaryota, Metazoa, Chordata, Lepidosauria, Squamata, Lacertidae.
AACCCCAGUCAAGCUAGCAAAAAUUUAUCAUCUGCCUGAUAAUAAAUGUUGGAAAUGUAAAGAAAAUGAAGGUACUUUUUUCACCUUUGGUGGACGUGCCCAAAGAUCAAGGCCUUCUGGGAAAUGAUAUAUAAUGAACUAAAAAAGGUAUUGAAAUAUACUUUCUUGAAGAAACCAGAGGCUUUCCUCUUGGGCAUGGUCGGUCAACUGGUGCGAAGGGAAGAUAGGAAUUUCUUUAUGUAUGCGACAGCAGCAGCAAGAAUACUCAUUGGGAAAUACUGGAAGACACAAGAAUUGCCUACCCGAGAAGAAUGGCAGAGAAAAGUGAUAGACUAUAUGGAACUGGCUGAGAUGACCGGCAGAAUACGAGACCAAGAAGAAGGGUCGAUGGAAGAAGAUUGGAAAAAAUUUAAAACAUAUCUUCAGAAAUACUGUAAUAUAAAAGAAUGUUAGAAAAGGUUGGAGAAGAAUAUAGACUGUAUUGGCAGACAGAGUAUAACGGAAUAAGUAAAUAUGUAGUGUAAAAUAAAAAAUAGAGGAGAAUUAAAUAUUUUUGAAUGUUAAAUUAAGUAAAUGAAAAGAAGGUUAGAAGGGUUUGCUGGAGAUAUGACUCAAAUUAGAAUACAAAGCAGAGAAGUGAGAGGAAGUCUCGGAAAUAAGUAAAUGGGAAAACGAUCCUAAUGGUUUAAUUUGAUUUUUUGUUAUUUUUGUAUUGUGAUUUUUUGUCUUUUGUAUUUUUUUCUGUAUCAUGUGUUGUUCUUUUUCUGUAGGGUGUAUGUGAUUUGUUUUUCUUUUUUUGCUUUUUUCUUUCUAUGUAAUCUUAAAAUUGGAAUAAAUAUUCUUU